Molecule: non-coding RNA, 1861 nt
Organism: Benincasa hispida (wax gourd)
Lineage: Eukaryota; Viridiplantae; Streptophyta; Magnoliopsida; Cucurbitales; Cucurbitaceae
Source: RefSeq, a predicted model, not a curated record
GUGACAAAUAAGGCACUUCAAAGUUGGCCUCUCUUUGUACAUUCUCUGAUUUUUGUUGAAGUGAUUCUUCUUUGAAUGGUUUUUUCUCUUAAAGUAAAGGGAUUCAGCUCCUCCAGCAUUCUUUCCUUUUAAUUGCAACUCCAAUUCUUCGCUUCUUAAGGCUGUAAGGAUAGCAUCUACUGUCACAGGUUGAGCUUAUCCAAGAAAACAAAAAAGAAGUAGAUGUCAUGUGUGUGGACUUCAUAUUUCCACGUCGCUUCAAUAGGUGGAAAUCGAGUGAAGAUUUUGAAUUCAAAACGUUAGAAAAUCAAGCAUAUACAAUUCGAGUAAUGAAAGGAGAAAAGAAAGAUGAACACAGAGAUGUAUAGUGACUCGGUGUUUUCACCUGCAUCCACUCUUCAAACGAUUUUCAAGCUUCAUUCAAGGACUUCAAGAUUACAACCAUCAGAACUAAGAUAAGUUCUUUAACAGCUCCCUCUCCAACUCUAUCUCUCUGAACUUUUACAAUAUUUUUCAUCCUACAUAGCAAGAAAUUAUAUAUAUGUAUUUCUUCUUGCGUUUUGCCUUUUAUUACAGAUAACUAAAAUAAAAAAAAAUAGUUGAGUAAUUAGUUGUAACCAUUUUCUGUUUUAUUUGUUUUACCAAGGGUUGGAGUUUUGAGUUUGGAGUUGGAGUUUUUUAUUCAGCUUCACAACAAUUAUGUUUAUAUAUAAUUCCUAUAAACUUUAAAGAUGUUUAAUAGGUCCAUAAAUUCUCGAUUUUGUAUUUAAUAAAUUCAUAAAAUAUCAAUUAUGUAUUCAAUAUAUCUCUUACAUAUUUGAAAAUGUUAAAAGUAAAAUGUGAUUUUUGACGCUAAAUUUAAAAUUUAACUGUGUUUGAUAGGCUCUAUUAGACAUCUUUUUAAAAUUAAUUUAUUUAUCAACUACAAAAUUUAUACUUCAAGGUUCAGUUAGACACAAACUAAUUUUUUCUUAUCUUAUAAUACAAUUAAUUUUUAAAUACUUUUAAUAUUUCUUUAAUCGAUUAGAUAUAAAAUAAAAAUUUAUAGAUUUAUUAGACAUUUUUAGGCAUUAGAGUCAAAAAUUGAAAGUUCAAGAGUUAAUUAGUAACCACUUUCAAAAUCUAGGGACCAAAUUAUAAUUUAACCCUUGUAUAAAUAUAAUUUUUAAAUACAUAAAUAUAUGAUAUCUAGAUUAAGUAAUACUAAAUAUAAAAUUUUUAUAAAUCUGUAUAACAUUAUUCACCUAAAAAUCAUUAAAUUAAUUUUCAUAAAAUAAUUUUAUAAAGACUAAAAAAAUUUGUAUAUUUCUAUAUAUAAGAGAAAAAUAAAAUGAUAUUAAGUUUCUCGAAUCAGUUUGAAGGGUACAUAAAAAUCAACUAGGUUCUUACAUUAGAAAAUGGAAAUUGCUUAGAGUACUUUGACAGUUCAAGCUAAAAGCCACGAUCAUGUAGAAGUCGGUCUUGAGAAGGUGAAUUGUUGGCAGAAAAAUGAGAGAAAGAGGGAGGGGAGAGACAAGAGGAGAGGGAAAGAUUAAAAAUAUAAUUCUUUUUCAAGGUUAACUUGUCACCUCAACCAUUUAGCCAAAUUUUUGUUAAAAUUAGGGUUUGACAAAAAUUCUUGCGGGGUUGACCCACCCCAACUGGAAUGGAAAUGGAGGUCAAACCAAAGAUUAUAAUAGGAUCCCCGAUUGAGGACGGGGUGGGAACAGGGAGGAUAUCCCCAUCCCAUUUUUCGUCCCCAACCCUGUCCUCGAUUAACUUUUUUAUUUUUUUAAUAUAUAUAUAUAUAUAAAAACGGGGAUGGGUCCCUAGGGGGACCGAUUUUCUCCGUGGGGAAUUCCCGUAUCCGUCCCCAUUCCAC